RNAcentral lists this ribosomal RNA (1521 nucleotides) under Triticum aestivum (bread wheat). Its description in RNAcentral is "partial small subunit ribosomal RNA". Lineage: Eukaryota; Viridiplantae; Streptophyta; Magnoliopsida; Poales; Poaceae. The record is from RNAcentral.
AUGUUGCCUGUUAUAAAAUUUGCUCUCUUGCCAUCUGUGCUCAUACUGGCAUCAGCUUCAAGUUUCCGGGCACUGGCAUCCAGCAAUAAGACUGAUCUGGAUGCCUUGAUAGCAUUAAAGGCGGGUCUAAGCCGUCACUCGGAUGCACUAGAUUCAUGGAACAUAACUGCUGACUUCUGCCAAUGGCAUGGUGUCAUCUGCAGCCUCAAUCAUAAGCAAAGGGUCUCAGCACUUAAUCUCUCCUCGGCGGGGCUUCGUGGAUAUGUAGCUCCUUCCCUGGGGAACCUCACUUACCUGAGAAGUCUAGAUCUCAGCUACAAUCUAUUUCAUGGUGAAAUCCCAUGGACAAUUGGCCAGUUGUCACAAAUGUCAUAUCUUGACCUCUCAAACAACUUGCUCCAGGGAGAAAUUCCUUGGACAAUUGGCCAGCUCAGACAGUUAUCACACCUCUAUCUCUCAAAUAAUUCAAUUGAAGGUGGGAUCAUGUAUGGCCUGAGGAACUGCACCCGUCUUGUCAGCAUCAAACUUGACCUGAAUAAGCUCCACCAAGAAAUCCCUGAUUGGCUUGGAGGCUUGUCAAGGAUUGAGGUCAUGUCACUAGGGAAGAACAAGUUCACAGGGAUCAUCCCACCAUCACUUGGCAACUUAUCAUCGCUGCGGAUAUUGAACAUCAAUGACAACCAGUUGAGUGGUCCAAUUCCUGAGAGUCUUGGCAGGAUCAGUAAGCUUGAGAAGCUAGGACUGCAAGUAAACCACCUCUCAGGCACCAUCCCAAGAACGGUCUUUAACAUGUCCUCACUCGCCCACAUUGGUCUGCAGAUGAACGAGCUAAGCGGCACACUUCCCUCCGAUUUGGGCAAUGGGCUACCAAAAAUCGAUCACCUUAUCCUUGCUUCGAACCAUUUCACUAGAAGAGUUGCAUCUUCACUUGCAAAUGCAACCACAAUUCAGUCACUUGACCUCUUUGGUAACAAACUCAUUGGAUCCGUGGCUCCAGAGAUUGGAGCACUCUGCCCGAACUUCCCGAUUCUUAAGGGAAACCAGCUGAAGUCAAGCACUGCCCAGGACUGGGGGUUCAUCACUUCAUUAACAACUUGUACUAGUGUUAAUGGUGUCAUAUUGCGACACAACAGGUUUAGUGGUGUGCUUCCAAGUUCUAUCGCAAACCUGUCCAGGCAACUCGAAUUUUUUGAUAUUAGUUUCAAUGAGAUUUAUGGCAAGAUACCAGUUGGCAUUGGAUACUUCCCUUAUCUAAUCAAGCUCGGACUCUCUAGCAAUCGAUUUACAGGUGCCAUACCAGACAACAUAGGGAACUUGAAAAUGCUCCAGUGGUUGACACUAGAUAAUAGCCGUAUUUCUGGCACGAUGCCGUCCUCGCUCGGGAACUUAACACAGUUGGAGGACCUUUCAGUAGCUAACAAUGUCUUGCAAGGAUAUCUUCCAGCAAACCUUGGAAAUCUCCAACGGCUCGUUGAUGCAAACUUUUCAAACAAUGCGCUUUCAGGUCCCUUACAUAGAUAG